This 768-nucleotide ribosomal RNA is filed under the name Aestuariimicrobium kwangyangense. Its description in RNAcentral is "bacterial SSU rRNA". It matches the Rfam family "Bacterial small subunit ribosomal RNA", at positions 68 to 852 of the family's 1533-position model. The record is from RNAcentral. Lineage: Bacteria; Bacillati; Actinomycetota; Actinomycetes; Propionibacteriales; Propionibacteriaceae. RNAcentral also lists the same sequence under 1 other name.
GGUAAGGCCCUUCGGGGUACACGAGUGGCGAACGGGUGAGUAACACGUGAGUAAUGUGCCCUUGACUCUGGGAUAACAGUUGGAAACAGCUGCUAAUACCGGAUAUGACCUGUCCCGGCAUCGGGGUGGGUGGAAAGCUCCGGCGGUCAUGGAUCAACUCGCGGCCUAUCAGCUUGUUGGUGAGGUAGUGGCUCACCAAGGCUUCGACGGGUAGCCGGCCUGAGAGGGCGACCGGCCACACUGGGACUGAGAUACGGCCCAGACUCCUACGGGAGGCAGCAGUGGGGAAUAUUGCACAAUGGGCGCAAGCCUGAUGCAGCAACGCCGCGUGCGGGAUGACGGCCUUCGGGUUGUAAACCGCUUUCACCCAUGACGAAGCGAAAGUGACGGUAGUGGGAGAAGAAGCACCGGCCAACUACGUGCCAGCAGCCGCGGUGAUACGUAGGGUGCGAGCGUUGUCCGGAAUUAUUGGGCGUAAAGAGCUUGUAGGCGGUUGAUUGCGUCAGAAGUGAAAUCUCAGGGCUUAACCCUGAGCGUGCUUCUGAUACGGGUUGACUAGAGGGAAGUAGGGGAGAACGGAAUUCCUGGUGGAGCGGUGGAAUGCGCAGAUAUCAGGAGGAACACCGGUGGCGAAGGCGGUUCUCUGGACUUUUCCUGACGCUGAGAAGCGAAAGCGUGGGGAGCAAACAGGCUUAGAUACCCUGGUAGUCCACGCCGUAAACGGUGGGUACUAGGUGUGGGGGACUUCCACGUUCUCCGUGCCGUAGC